Cyanistes caeruleus (blue tit) is the source of this 656-nucleotide long non-coding RNA. RefSeq lists it as uncharacterized. The record is from RefSeq and is a predicted model, not a curated record. Lineage: Eukaryota; Metazoa; Chordata; Aves; Passeriformes; Paridae.
ACAAGGUAGCAGGCUCUGUCUUGGCCUCCUCCCCCCCUCUCCAGGCCUACAAGGCCGCGGGAACAGACAGAACCUUGGACAAGGAGAAAGGUUUAAUGGAUUGGUGGCCAGAUAAACAGGAAUUGUGAUUCCAGCACUGCCUUCAAAACAUUACAAUUAAUAAUCGCCAUUUCUAAAAGGAAGAAUGGUUCACCAGAGCGUCACAAAUUAUUUCUUCUCCUGAGCUCAGAAUUCAGAGCCAAAUCAGAAGCUUACCUUGACAAAUAAAAUUUCCUUGUACGCUGUUGACUGUUCAGUAACUCGGCAGACUAAAAAGUUGAGCUCAUGCUGACUGUACUUGGAGACAAGGCAGAGGACAGCAGCCUGAUUUAUUGUCUGCAGUAAGCUGCUUCUUCCAGUCUAGGAAUGUGGUGUCUGAGGAGGCAACAGGAGCUCCUGCUGCAAUUCACAGUACUUGUGACAUGAGAAAGGGGGAGGAGCCAGGCAUUUCUGUGUGGAUGUAAUCAGAGAGUUGGGACACCACAGUCAGCCUUUCUCCACCACAUUCCCAGAGGAAAUCCAGACCAUUCUACAUUACCACUGAACCUUCAGAGGAAAAUGACACCUUUCUACAGGAUCACUGCUUCAACAGAACCACAUCUGUCACUCCAGGAGGA